This 1568-nucleotide ribosomal RNA is filed under the name Staphylococcus aureus. Its description in RNAcentral is "partial 23S ribosomal RNA". It matches the Rfam family "Bacterial large subunit ribosomal RNA", at positions 627 to 2196 of the family's 2925-position model. Lineage: Bacteria; Bacillati; Bacillota; Bacilli; Caryophanales; Staphylococcaceae. The record is from RNAcentral.
GUUACGAUUUGAUGCAAGGUUAAGCAGUAAAUGUGGAGCCGUAGCGAAAGCGAGUCUGAAUAGGGCGUUUAGUAUUUGGUCGUAGACCCGAAACCAGGUGAUCUACCCUUGGUCAGGUUGAAGUUCAGGUAACACUGAAUGGAGGACCGAACCGACUUACGUUGAAAAGUGAGCGGAUGAACUGAGGGUAGCGGAGAAAUUCCAAUCGAACCUGGAGAUAGCUGGUUCUCUCCGAAAUAGCUUUAGGGCUAGCCUCAAGUGAUGAUUAUUGGAGGUAGAGCACUGUUUGGACGAGGGGCCCCUCUCGGGUUACCGAAUUCAGACAAACUCCGAAUGCCAAUUAAUUUAACUUGGGAGUCAGAACAUGGGUGAUAAGGUCCGUGUUCGAAAGGGAAACAGCCCAGACCACCAGCUAAGGUCCCAAAAUAUAUGUUAAGUGGAAAAGGAUGUGGCGUUGCCCAGACAACUAGGAUGUUGGCUUAGAAGCAGCCAUCAUUUAAAGAGUGCGUAAUAGCUCACUAGUCGAGUGACACUGCGCCGAAAAUGUACCGGGGCUAAACAUAUUACCGAAGCUGUGGAUUGUCCUUUGGACAAUGGUAGGAGAGCGUUCUAAGGGCGUUGAAGCAUGAUCGUAAGGACAUGUGGAGCGCUUAGAAGUGAGAAUGCCGGUGUGAGUAGCGAAAGACGGGUGAGAAUCCCGUCCACCGAUUGACUAAGGUUUCCAGAGGAAGGCUCGUCCGCUCUGGGUUAGUCGGGUCCUAAGCUGAGGCCGACAGGCGUAGGCGAUGGAUAACAGGUUGAUAUUCCUGUACCACCUAUAAUCGUUUUAAUCGAUGGGGGGACGCAGUAGGAUAGGCGAAGCGUGCGAUUGGAUUGCACGUCUAAGCAGUAAGGCUGAGUAUUAGGCAAAUCCGGUACUCGUUAAGGCUGAGCUGUGAUGGGGAGAAGACAUUGUGUCUUCGAGUCGUUGAUUUCACACUGCCGAGAAAAGCCUCUAGAUAGAAAAUAGGUGCCCGUACCGCAAACCGACACAGGUAGUCAAGAUGAGAAUUCUAAGGUGAGCGAGCGAACUCUCGUUAAGGAACUCGGCAAAAUGACCCCGUAACUUCGGGAGAAGGGGUGCUCUUUAGGGUUAACGCCCAGAAGAGCCGCAGUGAAUAGGCCCAAGCGACUGUUUAUCAAAAACACAGGUCUCUGCUAAACCGUAAGGUGAUGUAUAGGGGCUGACGCCUGCCCGGUGCUGGAAGGUUAAGAGGAGUGGUUAGCUUCUGCGAAGCUACGAAUCGAAGCCCCAGUAAACGGCGGCCGUAACUAUAACGGUCCUAAGGUAGCGAAAUUCCUUGUCGGGUAAGUUCCGACCCGCACGAAAGGCGUAACGAUUUGGGCACUGUCUCAACGAGAGACUCGGUGAAAUCAUAGUACCUGUGAAGAUGCAGGUUACCCGCGACAGGACGGAAAGACCCCGUGGAGCUUUACUGUAGCCUGAUAUUGAAAUUCGGCACAGCUUGUACAGGAUAGGUAGGAGCCUUUGAAACGUGAGCGCUAGCUUACGUGGAGGCGCUGGUGGG